AUGAGGACUUCAUCUCUUAUUGGAAAAGAAAGCCACCACAUAAACCGGAGCCUCUGGCCGGGCCGCGUGAGGGAGGAGGGUUCGUCAUGUCUAGUAGCAUAUAAGAAGACCCCACCACCGGUCCCUCCGCGUACCACAUCAAAGCCGUUCAUCUCAGUCACAGUCCAGAGCAGUACUGAGUCUGCUCAGGACACCUACCUGGACAGCCAGGAUCACAAGAGCGAGGUGACAAGCCAGUCAGGCCUGAGCAACUCGUCGGACAGCCUGGACAGCAGUACCCGACCACCUACUCUGAAAAGUGAACAAGGAACGCUGACCAGCAUUGAGUCUCACACCGAGACUAUUCCCAAAAGGAAACUGUCAUCAAUAGGAAUACAAGUUGAUUGCAUUCAGCCAGUGCCAAAAGAGGAGCCCAGUCCCGCUACCAAAUUCCAGUCCAUCGGGGUUCAGGUAGAGGACGACUGGCGAAGCAGCGCCCCCUCUCACAGUAUGUCCUCCUGACGGGACACUGACUCGGAUACCCAGGAUGCUAAUGACUCAAGCUGUAAGUCUUCUGAGAGGAGUCUCCCAGACUGUACCUCACACACUAACUCCAUCAGCAUCGAUGCUGGCCCCCGGCAGGCCCCCAAGAUUGCCCAAAUCAAGCGCAACCUCUCCUAUGGAGACAACAGUGACCCUGCCCUGGAGGCGUCCUCACUGCCUCCACCAGACCCCUGGCUUGAGACAACCUCCAGCUCCCCAGCAGAGCCAGCACAGCCUGGGGCCUGCCGCCGAGAUGGCUACUGGUUCUUGAAACUACUUCAGGCAGAAACAGAGCGGCUGGAAGGCUGGUGCUGCCAAAUGGACAAGGAGACCAAAGAGAACAACCUCUCUGAAGAAGUCUUAGGAAAGGUCCUCAGUGCCGUGGGCAGUGCCCAGCUAUUGAUGUCCCAGAAAUUCCAGCAGUUCCGGGGCCUGUGUGAGCAGAACUUGAACCCUGAUGCCAACCCAUCCAACAGCCCAGGACCUGGCAGGGUUCUGGGACCUGCUACAGCUAUCUAUUGAGGACAUCAGCAUGAAGUUUGAUGAACUCUACCACCUCAAGGCCAACAGCUGGCAGCUGGUGGAGACCCCCGAGAAGAGGAAGGAAGAGAAGAAACCACCCCCUCCAGUCCCAAAGAAGCCAGCCAAAUCCAAGCCGGCAGUGAGCCGAGACAAGGCCUCAGAUGCAGGGGACAAGCAGCGUCAGGAAGCCCGCAAGAGACUCCUGGCAGCCAAGCGGGCAGCUUCUGUGCGGCAGAACUCAGCCACAGAGAGUGCAGACAGCAUCGAGAUUUAUGUCCCUGAGGCCCAGACCAGGCUCUGAGACCAUGGAGAAGGAAGGAAACAGUUUUAAACAAUUAAAAAACAAAGAAAACAAUGCAGACAGAACAAAAUUUUAUCAACUGUAUGGUUAUUCUCUCUAGAGACCCUGAGCCAAUUUCAAAUUGAUGCAUACAAGGGCUCACAAUUUGGCUUUUUUGGGUCCCUCUCAGCUUUAGGUUAUGAAGACUUCACAUUAAAAAACCAUCAACAAAACUAGAAAACUUUUUUUUCCCUCUUGCUGGCCGUGGUGGACUAGAUAGAUGGACUUCAGCAACGCCCCGGCCCAGCCUCAGACUGUGGUCUUUUUACUUGUUCUAUCUAAUGAGAACUUAAACUAGCUUGUUUACAAGACGACAACAGUCCAAGGGUAGCCUUGGGCACCUGCCAUGUUCCUCCUCUUCCCAGCUGCCCUGCUCUGACCUUGGAUUUUUCAUUCUACAUUUUUCUUUUCCCUUCAGAGCUCACACAGGGGUCACCAUCAAGGCCAGCGGCUUUCUGGUUCCGUCCUUUUUGUGGCUGAGGGCCCAGAGAACAGCAAGAUGGACACGCAUCCCCUCCCCCACCAAGUGCUCACACACGCUUGCAUGCGUGCACACAGAUGGGCUGCCCUCCGCUGGGACCUGCCAAUCCUAGGCAGGGUCAGGCAGGACUCCCUCUCAGCAGAUGAGCAAGGUGUUGGUCUCAGGAGAAAUAAGGUGAAGCCCCAAUACCACCCUCCAGUUGCUUUCUUUCCAGCCCCUUCCUUCAGCAGAUUUAGGACUAUUGGUGGCUUCCAGGGGUUGUCUGUCCUUGGCCUUGCCUAUGUCCAGUCCCCGAGGGCAGGUGGCGGUGUGUACGUAUGUGUAUAUAUGCACAUAGACCUUAGAGUGUAUAUUUAACAAACGCCCAUCUGCUCACCCAUGCCCACCAGCGCUGCCGCCACCGGCUCUCGGGCACCUGGCAGGAGUGUGAAUAGCAUAUAUUUUUACAUGUACUAUAUCUAGGUGUGUGUACAAGUGUGUGUAAAAAUAUAUACCUUGUGUGUAAGCAGCCUUUUUUUUUGGGGGGGGGGGUCCUUCCCUUCUAUUAGCCCAGCCUCUGAGUUUUUGUUUUGUUUUGUUUUUUUUUAAUCCAGUCAUCCCACCCUGCAUCCCCACUCCCAUGGUGUCACAAGCCCCGAGCUGCAAAGGCCCAGGUCUGCAGGGCAGGAUGGGGAGGACAGGGUAAGGACGGGCAGGCAGACAGCAGGGGCCGUGUGCAACAGAACUCAGCACACGUGGGGCUGCUCUAUACUGUGUGUACGAUCAAGGGCACUAUAGACAUCCUCUUGUCUGGUGCGUGCUGCAAGGGUGAACCAAGGGCCUGCUCUGGGGUCCCAUUCCAGCUUGGCCGCUGUCUGUGACCUUGGGCAAGUCACUUGACCUCUGUGUGCCUCAACUUCCUCCUCUGUAAAAUGGGGACAGUCCCCGCCCUUCCCUACCUCACAGGCAUGUUGUGAGAAUAAAUGAGGUAAUGUGUA
This is an RNA transcript of Octodon degus (degu), 2842 nucleotides long. It is a transcript of the gene named disks large-associated protein 4-like, with no coding region annotated. The transcript is spliced from 3 exons. The record is from RefSeq and is a predicted model, not a curated record. NCBI's taxonomy places the organism in Eukaryota, Metazoa, Chordata, Mammalia, Rodentia, Octodontidae.